ACUCCUACGGGAGGCAGCAGUGGGGAAUUUUGGACAAUGGGGGAAACCCUGAUCCAGCAAUGCCGCGUGAGUGAAGAAGGCCUUCGGGUUGUAAAGCUCUUUCAGUUGAGAAGAAAAGGUUGUGACUAAUAAUCAUAAUUUAUGACGGUAUCAACAGAAGAAGCACCGGCUAACUACGUGCCAGCAGCCGCGGUAAUA
RNAcentral lists this ribosomal RNA (198 nucleotides) under uncultured Nitrosomonas sp. RNAcentral describes it as "partial 16S ribosomal RNA". It matches the Rfam family "Bacterial small subunit ribosomal RNA", at positions 335 to 525 of the family's 1533-position model. Lineage: Bacteria; Pseudomonadati; Pseudomonadota; Betaproteobacteria; Nitrosomonadales; Nitrosomonadaceae. The record is from RNAcentral.